GUUUGUUUCUCUCAUCUGUGGGUUGUUGUACUGUGGCAGUUGUGUGUUGCUGUGAAGCUGAAAGCUAUGCUGCUGGUACUUCAAAUACCAGCAGGGUCAUCCAUGGUGGACAGGUUUCAUCAGAGCUUCCAGACUAAGACAGACUAGGAAGAAAGACCUGGGCACCCACUUCCAAAAAAACUGGCCAUGAAAAGCAGUGGCAUAGUGGCAGAAGAUACUGUGCAUGUAUCCUCAACAAUACUUAUUUCUGACCACUGCUGUAGUUCAAAGAAACAUACUUGGAAGGAUACGUUUUACUGGUCCUUUACAUAUCCUGGAGACGAGUCCUUUGUCAGAUUGAUGGAUAGCACUAUCUUCUUCCACUCUACGAUGAGCCCUGAGCUAACAUGUGCUGCCAAUACUCCUGUUUUUACUGAGGAAGGCUGUCCCUGAGCUAACAUCCAUGCCUAUCUUCCUCUACUUUAUAUGUGGGAUGCCUACCACAGCACGGCUUGCCAAACGGCUGUCAGCCUCAGCACCCCCCCCUCCAACCCACCUAUGGCUUCAAGUUGCAUCUGGACAACACGUGAUGCUGGAAUAGAAUUUUACAACCAGACACAAAGAAGAAGAGAAAAGUCAAGCGCUUAGUGAGAAUCAGUUGCAGGAAGUAAAGAGUGGAAUCGAGAGAUAGCUAGGCUGGCCCUGAGCUAACAUCCGUGCCCAUCUUCGUCUGCUUUAUACUUGGGACGCCUACCACAGCAUGGUGUGCGAAGCAGUGUCAUGUCUGCAACUGGGAUCCGAACCGGUGAACCCCGGGCCGCGGAGAAGAAGAACCUGCGAACUUAAUUGCUGCACCACCGGGCCUGCCCCAGGCAUUUCUUUUAAAGAUUAUUUUUGAGAAGCUAAUAGAAUGUCAAAAUGUGGUUAUCAAAGUUGCAUUGUGAUGUUUGUGCUUCUAGUUCAGAGAUGUGUGCCUUAGAUAAAAAACGGACAGUUGUCUACAUAGGGAUGGUAUUUAAAACUUGGGAUAGACCACCAAAAAAGUUAGUUGUUAUGGGUUAAAUAUGUGCAUUCCCCCAAAAUUCACAUGAUAAAAUCCUACCCCCUAAUGUGAUAGUAUUAGGAGGGGUAGCCUUUGGAAGGUUUUUAGGUCACGGGAGCAGGGCCCUUAUAAAUAGGAUUAAUGCUCUUAUAAAAUGGACCCCAGAGAGCUUUCUCCCCUUUUUUCUGCUGUGUGAGGGUACACGGAGAAGUUGGCAGUCUGCACCUGGAAGAGGGCCCUUCCUAGAACCUGACCAUGCUGGCAUCAUGAUCUUGGAUUUCCAGCCUCUAGAACUAUGAGUAAAUGAAUUUCUGCUCAUGGUAUUUUGUAAAUUCUCAGUCAUUAUAUUUUUAUUGUUUGAAAUGUAUGUAUAAUCUAUAAUAAUUGUGUUAUAUAUGAAUAUAAUAAAUAUUUUAUAUAUAUUGUUGCUUUUUUUUUUGGAGGAAGAUUAGCCCUGAACUGACAUCCAUGCC
This 1494-nucleotide long non-coding RNA is filed under the name Equus caballus (horse). RNAcentral describes it as "lncRNA (ENSECAG00000051236.1)". The record is from RNAcentral. Lineage: Eukaryota; Metazoa; Chordata; Mammalia; Perissodactyla; Equidae.